UUAAGUUAAUAAGGGCGCACGGUGGAUGCCUUGGCACUAGAAGCCGAUGAAGGACGUGACUAACGACGAAAUGCUUUGGGGAGCUGUAAGUGAGCAAUGAUCCAGAGAUGUCCGAAUGGGGGAACCCGGCAGGUAAUGCCUGUCACUCAUUACUGUUAAGGUAAUGUAGAGGAAGACGCAGUGAACUGAAACAUCUAAGUAGCUGCAGGAAGAGAAAGCAAAAGCGAUUGCCUUAGUAGCGGCGAGCGAAACGGCAAGAGGGCAAACCGAAGAGUUUACUCUUCGGGGUUGUAGGACUGCAACGUGGACUUAAAGAUUAUAGAAGAACUACCUGGGAAGGUAGGCCAAAGAGAGUAAUAGCCUCGUAUUCGAAAUAGUCUUUAUACCUAGCAGUAUCCUGAGUACGGCGAGACACGAGAAAUCUCGUCGGAAUCUGGGAGGACCAUCUCCCAACCCUAAAUACUCUCUAGUGACCGAUAGUGAACCAGUACCGUGAGGGAAAGGUGAAAAGCACCCCGGGAGGGGAGUGAAAUAGAACCUGAAACCGUGUGCCUACAACAAGUUCGAGCCCGUUAAUGGGUGAGAGCGUGCCUUUUGUAGAAUGAACCGGCGAGUUACGAUAUGAUGCGAGGUUAAGUUGAAGAGACGGAGCCGUAGGGAAACCGAGUCUUAAUAGGGCGUAUUAGUAUCAUGUCGUAGACCCGAAACCAUGUGACCUACCCAUGAGCAGGUUGAAGGUGAGGUAAAACUCACUGGAGGACCGAACCAGGGCACGUUGAAAAGUGCUUGGAUGACUUGUGGGUAGCGGAGAAAUUCCAAACGAACUUGGAGAUAGCUGGUUCUCUCCGAAAUAGCUUUAGGGCUAGCGUCGAUGUUAAGUCUCUUGGAGGUAGAGCACUGUUUGGGUGAGGGGUCCAUCCCGGAUUACCAAUCUCAGAUAAACUCCGAAUGCCAACGAGAUAUAAUCGGCAGUCAGACUGCGAGUGCUAAGAUCCGUAGUCGAAAGGGAAACAGCCCAGACCACCAGCUAAGGUCCCAAAAUAUAUGUUAAGUGGAAAAGGAUGUGGGGUUGCACAGACAACUAGGAUGUUAGCUUAGAAGCAGCUAUUCAUUCAAAGAGUGCGUAAUAGCUCACUAGUCGAGUGACCCUGCGCCGAAAAUGUACCGGGGCUAAAACAUAUUACCGAAGCUGUGGAUACCUUUAUAGGUAUGGUAGGAGAGCGUUCUAUGUGCGAAGAAGGUGUACCGUGAGGAGUGCUGGAGCGCAUAGAAGUGAGAAUGCCGGUAUGAGUAGCGAAAGACAGGUGAGAAUCCUGUCCACCGUAAGACUAAGGUUUCCAGGGGAAGGCUCGUCCGCCCUGGGUUAGUCGGGACCUAAGGAGAGACCGAAAGGUGUAUCCGAUGGACAACAGGUUGAUAUUCCUGUACUAGAGUAUAUAGUGAUGGAGGGACGCAGUAGGCUAACUAAACCAGACGAUUGGAAGUGUCUGGCCAAGCAGUGAGGUGUGAUAUGAGUCAAAUGCUUAUAUCUAUAACAUUGAGCUGUGAUGGGGAGCGAAGUUUAGUAGCGAAGUUAGUGAUGUCACACUGCCGAGAAAAGCUUCUAGCGUUAAUUAUACUCUACCCGUACCGCAAACCGACACAGGUAGUCGAGGCGAGUAGCCUCAGGUGAGCGAGAGAACUCUCGUUAAGGAACUCGGCAAAAUGGCCCCGUAACUUCGGGAGAAGGGGCGCUGACUGAUGGUCAGCCGCAGUGAAUAGGCCCAAGCAACUGUUUAUCAAAAACACAGCUCUCUGCUAAAUCGUAAGAUGAUGUAUAGGGGGUGACGCCUGCCCGGUGCUGGAAGGUUAAGAGGAGUGCUUAGCGUAAGCGAAGGUAUGAAUUGAAGCCCCAGUAAACGGCGGCCGUAACUAUAACGGUCCUAAGGUAGCGAAAUUCCUUGUCGGGUAAGUUCCGACCCGCACGAAAGGCGUAAUGAUUUG
RNAcentral lists this ribosomal RNA (1983 nucleotides) under human gut metagenome. RNAcentral describes it as "bacterial LSU rRNA". It matches the Rfam family "Bacterial large subunit ribosomal RNA", at positions 3 to 2011 of the family's 2925-position model. The record is from RNAcentral.